Hordeum vulgare subsp. vulgare (domesticated barley) is the source of this 2060-nucleotide long non-coding RNA. RefSeq lists it as uncharacterized. The record is from RefSeq and is a predicted model, not a curated record. Lineage: Eukaryota; Viridiplantae; Streptophyta; Magnoliopsida; Poales; Poaceae. The transcript is spliced from 3 exons.
GGCCACCAGCACGAGUCGUCCGUGCUUGAAUCCAGCAAGAUCCGGCCGCGGGAAACCCAUCCCCGCCGCUCCCGCGCUGCAUGUGCAAUGCCUCCCCCUCGGAGUUUGCCUCCAGCGCAGCCACAAGCCAUCUCCUGCCUCUGCCCUCGGGGAGGUCUGCAGCAACGGUGUCCUCUGGUGCACGUGGAGGUCUCCGUGGAGGUGGAAAUUCAAUUCGACCUCACCUCAGGCUUCUGGCCUCCUCGAGCUCCUGCUACACAAGGCCUCCCGAAGCUCCUGCAAGCCUCCUCCCCGGUGCUCCAGUGGUAAUCUGAAGCCGGCGUGGUGGAUGUGGUCGGACAUGGCAAGCGGCUGUGAUCUAUCGAUGGUAAGUUCGGCACCACGCUCCGUUGUUGCACCCGCAUUUCCGGCAGUUCCGCAAGCUAUUGCUUCUCCGACUGAGGUAUCCCUCCCCACACAUCCCUAAGGCGUCCACCCAUCUGCUAAUGCCCUCAUGUCAUCGGGUGUGAUUACCCUUUUUUUUGGACGAAGGCAGCAGAACUAGAUGAAUAUACCAACAGAAUAUUUACCAAAUCUGAAGGUGCAACAAUUGAUCUACUCAUCUUUGCCCUGAUUUGAAUAAUUGUCAGUGUGUGAACAUGUUACUUAGCAUCUUUUCCAAUGUAUGCGAUGUGUUCAGCUAGAGAAAUUUUGAAGCAGUUAAGAUGGGUUCAUGUCAUCGGGUGUGAUUACCCUUUUUUCUGGAUGAAGGCAACAGAACUAGAUGAAUAUACCAACAGAAUAUUUUAUCAAAUCUGAAGGUGCUACAAUUGAUCUACUCAUUUUUGCCCUGAUUUGAAUAAUUGUCAGUGUGUGAACACGUUACUUAGCAUCUUUUCCAAUGUAUGCGAUGGGUUCAGCUAGAGAAAUUUUGAAGCAGUUAAGGUGGGAUUUGUAUCAUAUCCUGCUGCUGUGUGUGAUGUUCUUUACUCUGCUUGUGGCAAUUUUGUACAGGGAGAUAUGGUUUGGAUUAGUUAUGUGAUGUUCUGUCAUGUUUUUUGCGCUCCUUCUUAAGAGAGAAAAUUUUAGAUAUGUGUACUGAUUAUUGGUACCGGCACUGAUCGUAUUUAUUGUCAUCUGUUCCAGGUUAAUCAUCUAGGGAAAGUAACACUUGAUCAUAGGAUAAUAAGUUAGUAGAUGUAUGUAAAGUUAUGUAGCUUCAUCAAAGAUAUGUCAGUUUUUAGAUGUUGGUCAGUACAACGUGCUCCCUGUAAGUUUCUCCUACUUGCCUAUUUGUACAAGGAAAUUACUUUAAAGGUAUUUCUGUGCCUGUUCGACACACUGAAUUUUUUAUUGAGUGCAGCUAGGAGAUUCCGACGACAGCGGCGGAUUUUGUGUCAGCACGCUGCGAGGAGCUGCUGACAGUGACCCAUGGUGGUGGAUCAGAGUUGGAAUUCAAGAGGGUUGGUGUGGUUGGAGUUAACUGAUGAUUGGGCUAGAACGGAGCAACAGAGGAGGCCGGCCAAGGACAUGGCCGCGGAUAACACAUCUUGCUCGGUUUCCCUGACGACCCAAGGCGGCCGUGUAGCCAUCUCAGAUGGAGUCCGACGAGAAGGACCAAAAGGAGGUGCUGGCAGGUUAAAUAUUUGACAUCCUAUGUUUGGUAAUGAGAGCAAUGCAAUAUUUUAAAGGGGCACACAUGUAAGGGAAACUGGUAUAUGUCUACCUGUCAAGCUGGAAACAACAAUUUGCAUUAUGAACUACGAGCUCCGAAUAAAUUGCUUUUCUCUUUCCUUCAAGUUGUCAUCUUAUUUCAGGAUUGGCAUCACCGAUAAAGCGGAGGUUUUUUUCCAUUCAAUCAAAUUAUAAAUUCCAAAUUUGUUACCCGUGUCUAUAAGUAUUGUACUUUUUUGUUAGAAUGUUGUUUGCCAUUUAUAUUAAUUGCCAUUCUUAUCCACUUCCUCUAAUUGUAGCUCUUUGUGUGAAUCAUUUAGUUCAGCACCAGUUAGAUUUUUAAAAUUAAUUGAUGAAUUGAUAAUUUGGUACAACAUGGAGAUUGACCUCAUUGGUAUAUAAUAUUC